CCAAAUGUUCACACUUAGUCUUGUGUUUUUAGGGAUGUAAUAGCCAUUUACUUCACAUGCUUCUGAUGAUACUCUUGGUAAGUUUAGUGGCGUUGAUGGGUGUUUUCUGAAUGUCUCUUUGCAUAUUGCUUGUAAGUAAGGUAGAUUCUGAAUGUCUGAGUCUUGUAACCGUCGCUGUUUACCUAUCACUCUGUCCAUUUCUUCAUGAGCUCUUUUCAUAAUGUUUGGAUUCUUUAACAU
RNAcentral lists this long non-coding RNA (240 nucleotides) under Lathyrus oleraceus (garden pea). RNAcentral describes it as "Pisum sativum (pea) long non-coding RNA (PSAT_LNC042190)". The record is from RNAcentral. Lineage: Eukaryota; Viridiplantae; Streptophyta; Magnoliopsida; Fabales; Fabaceae.